CCUGCUUCUAGAGGCAUUACGGGCAUGGCUGCUCUGUCACUGUGCACCACCAGUUGGUAGCAGAGAGGCAAGAAGCUAGUCUAUGCUCAGUGUUCUGACUAGUGAAUCCAAAUGAUGAGUACCCAACCAUU
This is a small nucleolar RNA of Mastomys coucha (southern multimammate mouse), 131 nucleotides long. RefSeq annotates it as small nucleolar RNA SNORA17. The transcript has a single exon. Lineage: Eukaryota; Metazoa; Chordata; Mammalia; Rodentia; Muridae. The record is from RefSeq and is a predicted model, not a curated record.